RNAcentral lists this ribosomal RNA (709 nucleotides) under uncultured euryarchaeote. RNAcentral describes it as "bacterial SSU rRNA". It matches the Rfam family "Archaeal small subunit ribosomal RNA", at positions 168 to 879 of the family's 1478-position model. Lineage: Archaea; Methanobacteriati; Methanobacteriota. The record is from RNAcentral.
CGCUGGAAUGCCUUACGGUUGAAAGCUUUAGCGUCUGAGGAUGGGUCUGCGGCCGAUUAGGUAGUUGCUGGGGUAACGUCCCAACAAGCCGAUAAUCGGUACGGGUUGUGAGAGCAAGAGCCCGGAGAUGGAUUCUGAGACACGAAUCCAGGUCCUACGGGGCGCAGCAGGCGCGAAAACUUUACACUGCGCGAAAGCGCGAUAAGGGGACCUCGAGUGCGUGCGCAAAGCGUACGCUUUUCAGAUGCCUAAAAAGCAUCUGGAAUAAGGGCCGGGCAAGACCGGUGCCAGCCGCCGCGGUAACACCGGCGGCUCAAGUGGUGGCCGCUAUUAUUGGGCUUAAAGGGUCCGUAGCCGGACCAGUUAGUCCCUUGGGAAAUCUUACGGCUUAACCGUAAGGCUGCCAAUGGAUACUGCUGGUCUUGGGACCGGGAGAGGCAAGAGGUACCUCAGGGGUAGGAGUGAAAUCCUGUAAUCCUUGAGGGACCGCCAGUGGCGAAGGCGUCUUGCUAGAACGGGUCCGACGGUGAGGGACGAAAGCUAGGGGCACGAACCGGAUUAGAUACCCGGGUAGUCCUAGCCGUAAACGAUGCGAGCUAGGUGUCACGUGGAUUGCGAAUCCAUGUGGUGCCGAAGGGAAACCGCGAAGCUCGCCGCCUGGGAAGUACGGCCGCAAGGCUGAAACUUAAAGGAAUUGGCGGGGGAGCAC